This 448-nucleotide ribosomal RNA is filed under the name uncultured bacterium. Its description in RNAcentral is "SSU rRNA". It matches the Rfam family "Bacterial small subunit ribosomal RNA", at positions 26 to 518 of the family's 1533-position model. The record is from RNAcentral.
AGAACGAACGCUGGCGGCAUGCCUAACACAUGCAAGUCGAACGCGUGACUUCGGUCACGAGUGGCGCACGGGUGAGUAACGCGUGGGAACCUGCCCCGAGGUGGGGGAUAACCGAUGGAAACGUCGGCUAAUACCGCAUACGACCUAAGGGUGAAAGAUUUAUCGCUCUGAGAGGGGCCCGCGUCGGAUUAGCUAGUUGGUGGGGUAACGGCCUACCAAGGCGAUGAUCCGUAGCUGGUCUGAGAGGAUGAUCAGCCACACUGGGACUGAGACACGGCCCAGACUCCUACGGGAGGCAGCAGUGGGGAAUAUUGGACAAUGGGCGCAAGCCUGAUCCAGCAAUGCCGCGUGAGUGAUGACGGCCUUAGGGUUGUAAAGCUCUUUCGGCGGGGACGAUGAUGACGGUACCCGCAGAAGAAGCCCCGGCUAACUUCGUGCCAGCAGCCGC